Molecule: long non-coding RNA, 416 nt
Filed under: Homo sapiens (human)
Lineage: Eukaryota; Metazoa; Chordata; Mammalia; Primates; Hominidae
Description: HSALNT0055957
Source: RNAcentral
CGAGAUUUCCCAACAUCCCUGUCUGUUUUCCUUACCCAGAGCAUUGGGCACUACUAAGUUCUUUGUGCUGAGCUGAAGGUUUGGUUUCAUCUGCUGGUGUCCUAAUACAGGAGGGUCAGAACGGACUUGGAGAAGUGCCUGCCCAAUAACUCCUGUCAGACUCCAGCCCUGUGAUGUUAAUGUCUGCAAACUUUGUCUUCCUCGAUGUGGGGAGUCAUUUCAGUUGAAGAAAUUGUGAGUGGCAUUAACUUGCUGCCCUAAAUUUAGAAGCAUAACCUGUAAAGAAAGAAGACCAUCCCUGAGAUGUGUAAGUGAGUAAUUGCCAAAAAGUGCAAGUCCCCAUUGUGCUCAGCAACUGUUCUAAAAUGGAAACUAUGGGGAGCAGAGGAAAUACUGCACCAACUCCAUGGGAAAAC